ACAUGCAAGUCGAGCGAGAAACCACUUCGGUGGCGGAGAGCGGCGAACGGGUGAGUAACACGUAGGUUACGUGCCCUUUGGUGGGGGAUAGCCCAGGGAAACCUGGAUUAAUACCGCAUACGUCCUUCGGGAUGAAAGCCUUCGGGCGCCAGAGGAUCGGCCUGCGGCCCAUUAUUUAAUCCUGGAUGGUAAGGUAACGGCUUACCAUGGGUACGAUGGGUAGCUGGUCUGAGAGGAUGAUCAGCCACACUGGGACUGAGACACGGCCCAGACUCCUACGGGAGGCAGCAGUGGGGAAUAUUGGACAAUGGGCGAAAGCCUGAUCCAGUCAUGCCGCGUGUGUGAUGAAGGCCUUCGGGUUGUAAAGCACUGUCGGGAGGGAAGAAAGCUUCGGCUUGACGGUACCUCGCAAGAAAGCACCGGCUAACUCCGUGCCAGCAGCCGCGGUAAUACGGAGGGUGCAAGCGUUGCUCGGAAUUACUGGGCGUAAAGCGUACGCAGGCGGCCAAUUAAGUUGGAUGUGAAAGCCCUGGGCUCAACCCGGGAAUUGCAUUCAAAACUGGUUGGCUUGAGUGUGAGAGAGGGAAGUGGAAUUCCAGGUGUAGAGGUGAAAUUCGUUGAUAUCUGGAGGAACACCGGCGGCGAAGGCGGCUUCCUGGCUCACAACUGACGCUCAUGUACGAAAGCGUGGGUAGCAAACAGGAUUAGAUACCCUGGUAGUCCACGCCGUAAACGAUGUUUGCUAGGUGUUGGUGGAAUUUACCCCAUCAGUGCCGCAGUUAACGCA
This 787-nucleotide ribosomal RNA is filed under the name uncultured bacterium. Its description in RNAcentral is "bacterial SSU rRNA". It matches the Rfam family "Bacterial small subunit ribosomal RNA", at positions 53 to 859 of the family's 1533-position model. The record is from RNAcentral.